Molecule: ribosomal RNA, 253 nt
Filed under: uncultured bacterium
Lineage: Bacteria
Description: partial 16S ribosomal RNA
Rfam family: Bacterial small subunit ribosomal RNA
Source: RNAcentral
UACGGAGGGGGCGAGCGUUAUUCGGAAUUAUUGGGCGUAAAGGGCGCGUAGGCGGCCCUGCAAGUCAAAGGUGAAAUCCCUCGGCUCAACUGAGGAACUGCCUUUGAAACUGCGGGGCUUGAGGCCGGGAGGGGGUAGCGGAAUUCCCAGUGUAGCGGUGAAAUGCGUAGAUAUUGGGAGGAACACCAGUGGCGAAGGCGGCUACCUGGACCGGUUCUGACGCUGAUGCGCGAAAGCGUGGGUAGCAAACAGG